RNAcentral lists this long non-coding RNA (1436 nucleotides) under Homo sapiens (human). RNAcentral describes it as "HSALNT0176913". Lineage: Eukaryota; Metazoa; Chordata; Mammalia; Primates; Hominidae. The record is from RNAcentral.
CGGAGCCCGGCACUCGUGACCUCGCCAGCUCUCAGCUCCCUCGGGCGAUUUCGUGCACGCUAAUGUGCGCCUCUGUGUUUUCCUAAAUGCUGGUUUCUUCAUCAAGCGGCGGAAUAACGCAUCAGGGCAGGUGACCCACGUCACCGGGGUGAUGCACUGGUGCUCGCCGGGGCGGGCGCUGUGCCUGCGGGAGCCGCGCGGCCGGCGCGGUGUCGGGGCGCCUCGUGGGGGCCGAGCCGCGCCCGCACGUCCCUCAGGUGGAGACAAACAGGAACCUCUACCCUCCUCUGCCUGUUAGUACUGGAUGGUGUGAGCGAGGUCCCCCAGCUGCACCACAGCAGGGCAGGAGACAGCAGGGUGCCCGCCCAGAACAGUGGGAGCAGUGCUUCCUGUUGCAGCCCCCACCCAGCCAGGCACAGGCCCAGUGCCUCUGUGGGACUCCAUCCAGGACUUGUUGAAAUGGCCGAUGAUACAAAGGAGCCCCGACUUCACCCAUGGCCAGCUUCCCUCGCCAUCCUCCCUGCAGCCAAAGGACUCGCCCUCACCUGUUCUUUCUGAGACAAAUCAUCUGCCAGGUUUCCGCCUCGGGACACCCAAGCUCAGCACAGACAGCCUAGCAGCCUGGGUGACAGGAUCCCAGGGGACAGGAUUCUCUCCUUGCCAUGGGGAUGAGGACAAAUUCUCCCUUCAUCCUUGAGAUUGGACUCCCGCCACACAUCCUGGAGGAGCCUACAGAGAAGCCGGCAGGUCUCCCUCACCUGGAUGGUGCCAGCGGGUGGCCUGGACCACCCAGAGGCCCUCUCCUGCACCUGACAGGAAGCCCCUGGGGCAUACGUCUCCCCUGCCACUUCCACUGUGGCCACUGGAAGUGUGGCAGAGAAAAUAGCUAGGACAAAAAGAAGUCAAUGAUUUCAACCAACGGAAUUUCUUUGUCCUUUGUAAAAAUCAACACAUGAUCUGUUACUGAUUGGGAUGUGAAAUAAAACUAAAAAUAACAGCACACUGAGCCUGGCUCAGGGCUCAGCUCACCUUUACCACGGUCCAAGUUCAGUUUAUCAGAUCCCAAGGAGCAGCUAAGCAGCAAGUCAAACACAGGUGAGGGUGGAGGGCGGAGGGCGGAGCGGGGAGGGGGCUCUGGCCCUCUGCGUGCCCCCACCAACCCCCAGGUAGAGAACCAGCCAGCUCACCAGGGAGUGUGGCCAAGCAAGAAGCUAUACACAGAAUUCUGAGCCCACACCCUAAUCUGCCUCAGGUGGGGAGGCCACUCACUUCCCUUUUUGCCUCAGUUUCCCCACUGGGGUUACCAGGGUCUUCUGGCACAUUCCCUUGUUUUAAGGAACGGUGGAAGAGGGGUCCCCUUGAGAUCAGGUUAAGCUGUGAAACAUCCUGCCAGCGCCACAGGCCACUGGGUCCUGGAAGGUCAGGCCACAAAGACC